UUCAGACGAUGCGUCAUGCAUAUCAAUAAGCGGAGGAAAAGAAACUAACAAGGAUUCCCCUAGUAACGGCGAGUGAAGCGGGAAGAGCUCAAAUUUGAAAUCUUAAAGGGUUUCCCUUUACGAAUUGUAGUUUAAAGAAGUGUUUUCUGUUGAGGUUUUGGUAAAAGUUCUUUGGAAUAGGACAUCAUAGAGGGUGAGAAUCCCGUAUUUGACCUUUACUUUCAACUUUGUGAUACACUUUCAAAGAGUCGGAUUGUUUGGGAAUGCAGUCCAAAAUGGGUGGUAAAUUUCAUCUAAAGCUAAAUAUUGGCGAGAGACCGAUAGCGAACAAGUACCGUGAGGGAAAGAUGAAAAGAACUUCGAAAAGAGAGUUAAACAGUACGUGAAAUUGUCAAAAGGGAAGCGUUUGACACCAGUGUUGUUUUUCUGAAAAUCAAUUAAAGAAUUGUUUAUGCUAAGUUGUUUAGACUUUAUCAGCUAACUGUUUAGUUUUGAGCUUUUCUUAAUGCACUUUUCAGUUAACAAGUCAACAUCAAUUUCUUUUGCUGUAAAAAAGCUUGAGGAAGGUGGCUUGAGAUUCGUCUUAAGUGUUUAUAGCCUCUUGCCUGUGCAGUCGGAGAGAUUGAGGUCUGCAGCGUAGAUCCUUCGGGGCUAAAUGCAUUUGUGCUAAGUUAUAGCAUUCUAUAGACAACUUGUUGACUAUGAUUUGUCUUGUAGCUUACUCGCUUAUGUUAUUUUACCUACGCUUAGGAUGUUGAAUCUGUGCGAGACUAC
RNAcentral lists this ribosomal RNA (774 nucleotides) under uncultured Neocallimastigales. RNAcentral describes it as "partial large subunit ribosomal RNA". It matches the Rfam family "Eukaryotic large subunit ribosomal RNA", at positions 18 to 644 of the family's 3401-position model. The record is from RNAcentral. Lineage: Eukaryota; Fungi; Neocallimastigomycota; Neocallimastigomycetes; Neocallimastigales.